RNAcentral lists this ribosomal RNA (460 nucleotides) under uncultured bacterium. Its description in RNAcentral is "partial 16S ribosomal RNA". It matches the Rfam family "Bacterial small subunit ribosomal RNA", at positions 338 to 795 of the family's 1533-position model. The record is from RNAcentral.
CCUACGGGUGGCAGCAGUGAGGAAUAUUGGUCAAUGGACGAGAGUCUGAACCAGCCAAGCCGCGUGAAUGAUGAAUGCCCUAUGGGUUGUAAACUUCUUCUAUAUGGGAGUAAAAUGUUCCACGAGUGGGAUUUUGUAUGUACCAUAUGAAUAAGGAUCGGCUCACUCCGUGCCAGCAGCCGCGGUAAUACGGAGGAUACGAGCGUUAUUCGGAUUUAUUGGGUGUAAAGGGAGCGUAGGUGGAUGGUUAAGUCAGUUGUGAAAGUUUGCGGCUCAACCGUAGAAUUGCAGUUGAUACUGGCAGGCUUGAGUACUGUAGAGGUGGGCGGAAUUCGAGGUGUAGCGGUGAAAUGCUUAGAGAUGUGGAAGAACACCGGUGGCGAAGGCAGCCCACUGGACUGCGACUGACACUGAGGUGCGAAAGUGUGGGGAUCAAACAGGAUUAGAUACCCCGGUAGUC